This 497-nucleotide ribosomal RNA is filed under the name uncultured bacterium. RNAcentral's name for it is "partial 16S ribosomal RNA". It matches the Rfam family "Bacterial small subunit ribosomal RNA", at positions 28 to 507 of the family's 1533-position model. The record is from RNAcentral.
GAUGAACGCUGGCGGCGUGCCUAAUACAUGCAAGUCGAGCGAACGGACGAGAAUCUUGCUUCUCUGAUGUUAGUGGCGGACGGGUGAGUAACACGUGGAGAACCUACCUAUAAGACUGGGAUAACUUCUAGAACCCGUAGCUAAUACCAGAUAAUAUUUUGAACCGCAUGGUUCAAAAGUGAAAGACUGUCUUGCUGUCACUUAUAUAUGGAUCCGCGCUGCAUUAGCUAGUUGGUAAGGUAACGGCUUACCAAGGCAACGAUGCAUAGCCGACCUGAGAGGGUGAUAGGAGACGCUGGAACAGGGACACGGUCCAGACUCCUACGGGAAGCCGGAGUAGGGAAUCUUGCGAAAUGGGAGAAAGCAAGACGGAGAAACGCCGCGUGAGUGAUGAAGGUAUUGGGAUCGUAAAACUCUGUUAUUAGGGAAGAACAUAUGUGUAAGUAACUGUACAAAUAUUGACGGUACCUGAUCAAAAAGCCACGGCUAACUACGUG